GCUAAAAAGAGGUAAAAAAACAGCCGAAACUCUGGCUCCCACACAGUUGAGUGUAGGAAGUGUGUCCGACAGUUUGGAGACAUCGCAGGACAGCAUGGACAACGGAGAUGAUUCUGCGUCAGCUCAACUGGAAAAGAGCUCGUCCUCGUCUACCAAUGGCGCACCGAAUCCACGUAAACCUCCAAAUUGCGCGCGAUGUCGCAACCAUCAGCUGAAAAUCGCUGUAAAAGGGCACAAAAGGUACUGUAAGUAUCGUUACUGCACUUGCGACAGCUGUAAGCUCACUGCAGAUCGGCAACGGGUGAUGGCGAGACAAACUGCGCUGAGAAGAGCCCUGGCACUUGACGAGCGGAGAGUCAGAACAGAUGAUGAGCAGGUGGAUCCACUGCCAUUCGGGGCGGAAGAUCGACUUCCUUCGGUCCUUCAACCAGCUAGAAGUCUCGAGGGUAGUUAUGAUAGCAGCAGUGGUGACUCUCCUAUCAGCAAUCAUGGCAAUAACAGCGUGCACAACAACCUAAAUGUCAUCACCGUAUCUACUUCCAGAAAAUUACCGUCGAUGCACCCUCACACUGGUUCGACCACCCAUUUACCGCAGUCGCAGAACGGCGACAGUGUGGAAAUUCUGCUGGAGUAUAGUACCAAACUUCUAGACCUCUUCCAAUAUCCUUGGGAAAUGCUACCAUUGAUGUACGUCAUUUUGAAAGACGCUGGAGCUAACCUCGAAGAGGCUGUAAGGCGCAUAAUGGAAGCCAGCAAUGACAUUCGUACAAUGCACUUUUGGAAAGCGGUGAGAAUGGUGCAAUCAGGUCGGUCGUAUUGUUGCACGGGAUACACAUCUACAGGAGCACCUACUUACGAGGGGCAGGUACCCUAUAUAGGAGUUGCACCACCUCCGAGUGCUAUGCACCUCAGGCCGAUUUUGCAUCCUUUGAAUGCUAAUAUUCCGCCCGCCAGAGUACCGCCCAGCCCUGAUAGUCCUCCAGAACAUUCUACUACGUAGCCAUGCCCAACACGACGUUCGAAACUCCGACAAGAUCUUGAAGUACGUAUUGCACGAAUCUUCGUGUUCCUUACCUUGGCGUGUCAAGUGCUUAUUGGAGUGAAUUUCUGAACGGUCAAGCCGCAACAACCGAUUCUCGCUGUUGGGUACAAAGUAUACACAUAUAGGCACUACAAGAGAACUCCGUGCAGGUACAAGUAUGGUAUAUAACUAAAGUUGCCGAUGGGCGUGAAUGGUUUGAUUCCGGGCCAUGGGAGAACGAACCUGAGUUACCUACUUCGGGUUAGCACGCUAUUCAGUCGACGAAAGUUCGCGAAAAAUGGCGCGUAUCCAUCGUAAUGGAGGGCAAGUGUCGCAACGAUAUUCUCCAGCGUCCGUGGGACAAGUUAAUCGUGCACCUUGAAAACCAAAGAGGUUAUUUGGUUGCAACUCGGAGAUUACUAGUUUCUGCAUAUUGCCAGUCUCGAACCGGUAUUAUCCGAAAUCACUGGAUUUAAACAACCGUGUUCCAGUACGGAUGCUGCAACUUGGGGAGUAUUGUGGUGAGACGGGAAUGAUGCUUCAUGAAUCGAAAAUAUUCGAUCUAAUUUUAUCGUAAGAGGCUUCGUUUAUAAAAACAUUCAAUUUUAAAAGAAAGUAAUAGAGAUGUUAACAAAGUUUUAA
RNAcentral lists this unclassified non-coding RNA (1663 nucleotides) under Megachile rotundata (alfalfa leafcutting bee). RNAcentral's name for it is "protein doublesex, transcript variant X8". Lineage: Eukaryota; Metazoa; Arthropoda; Insecta; Hymenoptera; Megachilidae. The record is from RNAcentral.